GAAUGGGAGGGUGACCUGGCUGUAACAUCUGUCAUCUCAUUGAUGGUCAAGGUUGAUUGGGCUGAUCUGGCUGCCUAGGUGAGUGUCCCCUUUCUCCCUCAUGGCUCCAUGUGUGUCCCUCCCAAAGCUGCCCAGUCAGUGGAAGAGGGCAACCUUAGCUGAUAGAGGAGGAUUUUCCUUCAAAGGUAUUCAUGUAACUUCAAACAAGUCCUAAAGGUCUAGUUGUAGAAGGUGAGGCCAGUCAAGCUUCUAAGAUUCCAGAUACAUUCAAAUGAGGUGCUGCAUGGGGCAGCCUUUGU
This 299-nucleotide small nuclear RNA is filed under the name Neogale vison (American mink). Its description in RNAcentral is "Neovison vison (American mink) 7SK RNA (ENSNVIG00000005086.1)". It matches the Rfam family "7SK RNA". Rfam says of the family: 7SK was discovered as an abundant small nuclear RNA in the mid-70s but a possible function has only recently been suggested. The record is from Rfam by way of RNAcentral. Lineage: Eukaryota; Metazoa; Chordata; Mammalia; Carnivora; Mustelidae.